ACCCCAAUGGGUUCCAUGGCCCCAAAAUAUCCUACAGACCCAAAAAUGUCUUAUGGACCCCAAUGGGUUCUGCAGCCCCCCAGCUUCUAUUGACCCCAAAAGGUUCCACAGACCCCAAAAAGAUUUUAUGAACCCCAGAAGGUUCCACAGACCCCAAAAGGACUUUACGACCCCCAAAAAAGAUUUUAUAGACCCCGAAGAAUCCACAGACCACAAAAGGUUUUUAUGGCCUCCUCAAAGGAUUUU
RNAcentral lists this long non-coding RNA (246 nucleotides) under Zonotrichia albicollis (white-throated sparrow). Its description in RNAcentral is "lncRNA (ENSZALG00000009177.1)". The record is from RNAcentral. Lineage: Eukaryota; Metazoa; Chordata; Aves; Passeriformes; Passerellidae.